ACUGAGGGUAAUUCCGGAUAUUGCAAAGGUAUUGGAAUGUCCUUUGCUUCAAACCAUUUCGGCCUUAGGAUAGGUCUGCGGCAGAUUAGCCUGUCGGUGAGGUAACGGCCCACCAAAGCUAUAAUCUGUACGGGCGAUGGGAGUCGGAGCCCGGAGAAGGGGACUGAGACAAGGCCCCUAGCCCUACGGGGUGCAGCAGUUACGAAAACUUUACAAUGCGCGAAAGCGUGAUAAGGGAACUCCAAGUGAUUAUGCGCGAGCAUGAUCUUUUGCCAAGUGUAAACAGCUUGGCGAAUAAGAGGUGGGUAAGACCCGUGCCAGCCGCCGCGGUAAUACGGGCAGCUCGAGUGGUAUCCGCGAAUAUUGGGCUUAAAGCGUGCGUAGCUGGUUCAGUAAGUUUUUUGUGAAAUCCCAUGGCUCAACUGUGGGAAGUGCAGAAAAUACUGCUGGACUUGGAGGCGGGAGAGGUCAAGGGUACUUAUGGGGUAGCGGUAGAAUGUAGUAAUCCUAUAAGGACCACCGGUAGCGAAGGCGCUUGACUAGAACGCACUCGACAGUGAGGUACGAAAGCCAGGGUAGCGACAGGGAUUAGAUACCCCUUUAGUCCUGGCUGUAAAGGAUGCAAACUAGGUGUUGUGUAACCCUCGUGGUUAUGCGGUGCCGAAGGGAAACCGUUAAGUUUGCCGCCAGGGGAGUACGGCCGCAAGACUGAAACUUAAAGGAAUUGGCGGGGGAGCACUACAACGGGUGGAUGCUGCGGUCAU
RNAcentral lists this ribosomal RNA (764 nucleotides) under uncultured archaeon. RNAcentral describes it as "bacterial SSU rRNA". It matches the Rfam family "Archaeal small subunit ribosomal RNA", at positions 139 to 904 of the family's 1478-position model. The record is from RNAcentral.